This 130-nucleotide non-coding RNA is filed under the name uncultured Lawsonibacter sp. RNAcentral describes it as "THF riboswitch". It matches the Rfam family "THF (Tetrahydrofolate) riboswitch aptamer". Rfam says of the family: THF riboswitch presents a pseudoknot that joins P1-P2 and the loop of P3 and two THF binding. The record is from RNAcentral. Lineage: Bacteria; Bacillati; Bacillota; Clostridia; Eubacteriales; Oscillospiraceae.
GCAGAGUAGGUACACCUGUGCUGGUCCCCGUGUGGGACCUUCAGUGCCGGCGGAACGGGGAGUUGUCCGCCGGACGAACAGCGCCCUCCCAGUGGGAGGGGGCGGCAGUGGGUGGUCCGCAUCCCGCUGC